Molecule: ribosomal RNA, 207 nt
Filed under: uncultured bacterium
Lineage: Bacteria
Description: partial 16S ribosomal RNA
Rfam family: Bacterial small subunit ribosomal RNA
Source: RNAcentral
UACGUAGGUGGCUUGGUAAGUCGAAUGUGAAAGCCCUGGGCUUAACCUGGGAACUGCAUCCGAAACUGCCUGGCUGGAGUAAGGGAGAGGGAAGUGGAAUUUCCGGUGUAGCGGUGAAAUGCGUAGAUAUCGGAAGGAACACCAGUGGCGAAGGCGACUUCCUGGCCCAUUACUGACACUGAGGUACGAAAGCGUGGGGAGCAAACA